This 253-nucleotide ribosomal RNA is filed under the name uncultured bacterium. RNAcentral's name for it is "partial 16S ribosomal RNA". It matches the Rfam family "Bacterial small subunit ribosomal RNA", at positions 524 to 776 of the family's 1533-position model. The record is from RNAcentral.
UACGAAGGACCCGAGCGUUAUCCGGAUUUAUUGGGUUUAAAGGGUGCGUAGGCGGACUUAUAAGUCAGUGGUGAAAUCUCCCAGCUUAACUGGGAAACUGCCAUUGAAACUGUUAGUCUUGAGUACAUUUGAGGCGGGCGGAAUGUGUCAUGUAGAGGUGAAAUUCUUAGAUAUGACACAGAACACCAAUUGCGAAGGCAGCUCGCUAAACUGUAACUGACGCUGAGGCACGAAAGCGUGGGGAUCAAACAGG